Molecule: ribosomal RNA, 468 nt
Filed under: uncultured bacterium
Lineage: Bacteria
Description: partial 16S ribosomal RNA
Rfam family: Bacterial small subunit ribosomal RNA
Source: RNAcentral
GACGAACGCUGGCGGCGCGCCUAACACAUGCAAGUCGAACGGAGUCAAGAGGAGCUUGCUUUUCUUGACUUAGUGGCGAACGGGUGAGUAACGCGUGAGUAACCUGCCCUGGAGUGGGGGACAACAGUUGGAAACGACUGCUAAUACCGCAUAAGCCCACGGAUCCGCAUGGAUCUGCGGGAAAAGGAUUUAUUCGCUUCAGGAUGGACUCGCGUCCAAUUAGCUAGUUGGUGAGGUAACGGCCCACCAAGGCGACGAUUGGUAGCCGGACUGAGAGGUUGAACGGCCACAUUGGGACUGAGACACGGCCCAGACUCGUACGGGAGGCAGCAGUGGGGGAUAUUGCACAAUGGGGGAAACCCUGAUGCAGCGACGCCGCGUGGAGGAAGAAGGUUUUCGGAUUGUAAACUCCUGUCGUUAGGGACGAUAAUGACGGUACCUAACAAGAAAGCACCGGCUAACUACGUG